GCCGGGGGUGGCCGAUCGCGAUCGACGGCACGGCCCUGCUGGCGGUCGAGACGGCGGACCCGAUCCGCCUCGCCGCGUUCGAUCCCGAGGCUCAGGCGCC
Molecule: transfer RNA, 100 nt
Filed under: Sphingomonas paucimobilis
Lineage: Bacteria; Pseudomonadati; Pseudomonadota; Alphaproteobacteria; Sphingomonadales; Sphingomonadaceae
Description: tRNA-???(gctg)
Source: RNAcentral